Molecule: ribosomal RNA, 440 nt
Filed under: uncultured bacterium
Lineage: Bacteria
Description: bacterial SSU rRNA
Rfam family: Bacterial small subunit ribosomal RNA
Source: RNAcentral
CCUACGGGGGGCAGCAGUGGGGAAUAUUGCACAAUGGGCGCAAGCCUGAUGCAGCGACGCCGCGUGAGCGAUGAAGGCCUUCGGGUCGUAAAGCUCUGUCCUACGGGAAGAAUAAUGACGGUACCUUAGGAGGAAGCCCCGGCUAACUACGUGCCAGCAGCCGCGGUAAUACGUAGGGGGCGAGCGUUAUCCGGAAUCACUGGGCGUAAAGGGUGCGUAGGCGGCCCUGCAAGGCAGGAGUUAAAUCCCUCGGCUCAACCGAGGUCAGCGGUUGAAACUGUAGGGGUUGAGUGCAGGGGAGGUGGGGGGAACUCCUAGUGUAGCGGUGAAAUUCGUGGAGAUGAGGGGGAAUGCCAGAGGCGAUGGCGGCUCUCUGGAGUGGAUCUGAUGCUGAGGCACGAAAGCGUGGGGAGCGAGUAGGAUUAGAUACCCUUGUAAUC